This 251-nucleotide ribosomal RNA is filed under the name Thyridariaceae sp. RNAcentral describes it as "partial small subunit ribosomal RNA". The stretch from base 1 to 105 matches the Rfam family "Eukaryotic small subunit ribosomal RNA", at positions 1334 to 1461 of the family's 1831-position model. The record is from RNAcentral. Lineage: Eukaryota; Fungi; Ascomycota; Dothideomycetes; Pleosporales; Thyridariaceae.
AACGAGACCUUAACCUGCUAAAUAGCCAGGCUGGCUUUGGCUGGUCGCCGGCUUCUUAGAGGGACUAUCGGCUCAAGCCGAUGGAAGUUUGAGGCAAUAACAGGUUAACCCUUCACAGGCCUGUAACAGUGGGCCUCAGUAAACAACCGCUAGUCCAGCAUCGAAUACUUCUCGGGGAAGUCCCCAACUGUCGGGAGAAGGCAGGCUUCGGCCUGUGAUGCGGGCAACACUACCUGGUACAGGGAAGGCCG